CUAAAAAUCUAGCCCCCCCACACUUAACCAACCUUUAAACAACAAACAAAAUAUUUUCAUAUCUUAGUAAAGACGAUUAAAAAAUUUCUUUGGAGCUAUAAAAUGUACCGCAAGGGAAAGAUGAAAUAAAAAUGAAAUAAAUCUCAAGCACAAAAAAAUAGAGAUUCACCCUCGUACCUUUUGCAUCAUGGUUUAGCUAGUCUAAUUAGGCAAAAUGACCUUAAGUCUAACCCCCCGAAACUAAGUGAGCUAUUUUAGGGCCGCUUUACGAGCUAACCCGUCUAUGUUGCAAAAUAGUGGGACGACCUUAAAAUAGGGGCGAAACACCUAACGAACUUAGUUAUAGCUGGUUCUUCAGGAAAGGAAUUUCAGUUCCGCCUAAAAUAAUUAAAAAUUUUUCCCAGAUUUAACCUUAAUUUUAGAGUAAUUCAAAUAAGGUACAGCCUAUUUGAUACAGGAUUCAACCUUCACAAACGGGUAAUAGUUGUUUCACACACCCCAAGUGGGCCUAAGAGCAGCCACCUUAUUAAAAGCGUUAAAGCUUAAACGUGUAAAUUUUAAUUCAUAACCCAUUAUUAACCCCUUCACUUCUACUGAAGACUUCUAUAAAAAUAUAGAACUUUUUAUGCUAAAACUAGUAACAAGGGGAAGCCUCCCCUCUAAGAUGUGAGUAUAAGCCAAAAAGAACCCAUCAUUGGCACUCAACAGGUGAAAAUAGUAACUAUAACUAGAAAAUUCUAUUUUAUACUCUGUUAAUCUAACACCAGAACAUCUCAAGAAAGAUUAAAAGAAAAAGAAGGAACUCGGCAAAUAUUAACCCCGCCUGUUUACCAAAAACAUCACCUCUUGAUACUAUAAGAGGCCCAGCCUGCCCGGUGACUCUUGUUUAACGGCCGCGGAACCCUGACCGUGCGAAGGUAGCGUAAUCACUUGUCCUAUAAAUGAGGACUAGUAUGAAAGACUUCACGAGGAUUAAACUGUCUCUUUUUUCUGAUCAGUGAACCUAAUCUCCCCGUGAAGAAGCGGGCAUAAUCAUAUAAGACGAGAAGACCCCAUGGAGCUUAAAACACUUCUACACCUGUCACAAUUCCCUAAUAACUACUAUGACACCCUGUUUAAAUGUUUUUGGUUGGGGUGACUGCGGAGAAUAAUAAAACCCCCGCGAUGAAAAGGUAUAUCCCUAAACCAUAAGUUACAACUUUAAGUAUCAGAAAACUGACAUCCUUUGACCCAAUUACUUGAUCAACGAACCAAGUUACCCUGGGGAUAACAGCGCAAUCCACCUUGAGAGCUCUUAUCGACAGGUGGGCUUACGACCUCGAUGUUGGAUCAGGGUAUCCUAGUGGUGCAGCCGAUAAUAAAGGUUCGUUUGUUCAACGAUUAAAACCUUACGUGAUCUGAGUUCAGACCGGAGCAAUCCAGGUCAGUUUCUAUCUAUACAGAGCUUUUUUU
RNAcentral lists this ribosomal RNA (1452 nucleotides) under Pristimantis lanthanites (metallic robber frog). RNAcentral's name for it is "partial 16S ribosomal RNA". It matches the Rfam family "Bacterial large subunit ribosomal RNA", at positions 261 to 2664 of the family's 2925-position model. The record is from RNAcentral. Lineage: Eukaryota; Metazoa; Chordata; Amphibia; Anura; Strabomantidae.